RNAcentral lists this ribosomal RNA (445 nucleotides) under uncultured bacterium. RNAcentral's name for it is "partial 16S ribosomal RNA". It matches the Rfam family "Bacterial small subunit ribosomal RNA", at positions 354 to 796 of the family's 1533-position model. The record is from RNAcentral.
GUGAGGAAUAUUGCGCAAUGGAGGCAACUCUGACGCAGCCAUGCCGCGUGCAGGAAGAAGGCGCUACGCGUUGUAAACUGCUUUUAACCGGGAAGAAACCCCAGGACGUGUCCUGGGUUGACGGUACCGGAGGAAUAAGCACCGGCUAACUUCGUGCCAGCAGCCGCGGUAAUACGAAGGGUGCAAGCGUUAUACGGAUUCAUUGGGUUUAAAGGGUGCGUAGGCGGAGCGUUAAGUCAGUGGUGAAAUCCUGCAGCUUAACUGUAGACUUGCCAUUGAUACUGGCGCUCUUGAGUGCGCUUGAAGUGGGCGGAAUGUGCCGUGUAGCGGUGAAAUGCGUAGAUAUGGCACAGAACACCAAUGGCGAAGGCAGCUCACUAAGGCGAUACUGACGCUGAGGCACGAAAGCGUGGGGAUCGAACAGGAUUAGAAACCCUAGUAGUCC